RNAcentral lists this ribosomal RNA (406 nucleotides) under uncultured bacterium. RNAcentral's name for it is "partial 16S ribosomal RNA". It matches the Rfam family "Bacterial small subunit ribosomal RNA", at positions 30 to 526 of the family's 1533-position model. The record is from RNAcentral.
AUUGAACGCUGGCGGCAGGCCUAACACAUGCAAGUCGAACGAGUGGCGGACGGGUGAGUAAUGUCUGGGAAACUGCCUGAUGGAGGGGGAUAACUACUGGAAACGGUAGCUAAUACCGCAUACCAUCAGAUGUGCCCAGAUGGGAUUAGCUAGUUGGUGGGGUAAAGGCUCACCAAGGCGACGAUCCCUAGCUGGUCUGAGAGGAGGACCAGCCACACUGGGACUGAGACACGGUCCAGACUCCGACGGGAGGCAGCAGUGGGGAAUAUUGGACAAUGGGCGCAAGCCUGAUACAGCCAUGCCGCGUGUAUGAAGAAGGCCUUCGGGUUGUAAAGUACUUUCAGCAGGGAGGCGGUACCCGCAGAAGAAGCACCGGCUAACUCCGUGCCAGCAGCCGCGGUAAUUC